AUACGUAGGUGGCGAGCGUUGUCCGGAUUUACUGGGCGUAAAGGGAGCGUAGGCGGACUUUUAAGUGAGAUGUGAAAUACCCGGGCUCAACUUGGGUGCUGCAUUUCAAACUGGAAGUCUAGAGUGCAGGAGAGGAGAAUGGAAUUCCUAGUGUAGCGGUGAAAUGCGUAGAGAUUAGGAAGAACACCAGUGGCGAAGGCGAUUCUCUGGACUGUAACUGACGCUGAGGCUCGAGAGUGU
Molecule: ribosomal RNA, 240 nt
Filed under: uncultured bacterium
Lineage: Bacteria
Description: partial 16S ribosomal RNA
Rfam family: Bacterial small subunit ribosomal RNA
Source: RNAcentral